RNAcentral lists this unclassified non-coding RNA (269 nucleotides) under Hevea brasiliensis (rubber tree). Lineage: Eukaryota; Viridiplantae; Streptophyta; Magnoliopsida; Malpighiales; Euphorbiaceae. The record is from RNAcentral.
GGUUCUAUAAUUAUUUCAUUGGUUGUUUUUUGGGUAAAGUAGCCGCCUGGUUGUUCUCACUUUUUUGGGUUUACAACUUGUCCUGUCAAGUUCCUGUUUUGUAAGAUAUAGAACCUUUUUCUGGGAUUAGGUUUUAGGACUUUGUGAGAUGAAAUUACAUCCUGUUCGAGUUUGUGCCACAUUAGGACAAUCUCGAUGGAAUUUUCCCCCCUCCGUGUAUUAAAAUGUAGUAUUGCUCAAAAAAAGGUUCUAUAUCUUACAAAACAGGA